ACCGUCGAUAGCUCAGUUGGCAGAGCGGUGGACUGUAGAUCCAUAGGUCACUGGUUCGACCCGGCCGACGGAA
RNAcentral lists this transfer RNA (73 nucleotides) under Trichonephila clavata. Its description in RNAcentral is "tRNA-Tyr". It matches the Rfam family "tRNA". From Rfam's summary of the family: Transfer RNA (tRNA) molecules are approximately 80 nucleotides in length. Lineage: Eukaryota; Metazoa; Arthropoda; Arachnida; Araneae; Nephilidae. The record is from RNAcentral.